Molecule: non-coding RNA, 149 nt
Filed under: Pan paniscus (pygmy chimpanzee)
Lineage: Eukaryota; Metazoa; Chordata; Mammalia; Primates; Hominidae
Also listed under: 1 other name
Source: Rfam by way of RNAcentral
GCCGGGCAUGGUGGUGCGUGCCUGUAGUCCAAGCUACUCAGGAGGCUGAGACAGAGAGAAUUGCUUGAACCCAGGAGGUGGAGGGUGCAGUGAGCCGAGAUCACGACACUGCACCCCAGCCUGGGUGACAGAGUGAGACUCUGUCUCAA